GGUUAAGCGACUAAGCGUACACGGUGGAUGCCCUGGCAGUCAGAGGCGAUGAAGGACGUGCUAAUCUGCGAAAAGCGCCGGCGAGGUGAUAUGAACCUUUGACCCGGCGAUGUCCGAAUGGGGAAACCCAGUGUGUUCCGACACACUAUCGUUAACUGAAUACAUAGGUUAACGAGGCGAACCGGGGGAACUGAAACAUCUAAGUACCCCGAGGAAAAGAAAUCAACCGAGAUUCCCCCAGUAGCGGCGAGCGAACGGGGAGCAGCCCGGAGUCUGAAUCAGCUUGUGUGUUAGUGGAACGGUCUGGAAAGUCCGACGGUACAGGGUGAUAGUCCCGUACACGAAAAUGCACAGGUUGUGAACUCGAAGAGUAGGGCGGGACACGUGGUAUCCUGUCUGAAUAUGGGGGGACCAUCCUCCAAGGCUAAAUACUCCUGACUGACCGAUAGUGAACCAGUACCGUGAGGGAAAGGCGAAAAGAACCCCGGCGAGGGGAGUGAAAAAGAACCUGAAACCGUGUACGUACAAGCAGUGGGAGCACCUUCGGGUGUGACUGCGUACCUUUUGUAUAAUGGGUCAGCGACUUAUAUUCUGUAGCAAGGUUAACCGUAUAGGGGAGCCGAAGGGAAACCGAGUCUUAACUGGGCGUUAAGUUGCAGGGUAUAGACCCGAAACCCGGUGAUCUAGCCAUGGGCAGGUUGAAGGUUGGGUAACACUAACUGGAGGACCGAACCGACUAAUGUUGAAAAAUUAGCGGAUGACCUGUGGCUGGGGGUGAAAGGCCAAUCAAACCGGGAGAUAGCUGGUUCUCCCCGAAAGCUAUUUAGGUAGCGCCUCGUGAACUCAUCUUCGGGGGUAGAGCACUGUUUCGGCUAGGGGGCCAUCCCGGCUUACCAACCCGAUGCAAACUACGAAUACCGAAGAAUGUUAUCACGGGAGACACACGGCGGGUGCUAACGUCCGUCGUGAAGAGGGAAACAACCCAGACCGCCAGCUAAGGUCCCAAAGUCAUGGUUAAGUGGGAAACGAUGUGGGAAGGCACAGACAGCCAGGAUGUUGGCUUAGAAGCAGCCAUCAUUUAAAGAAAGCGUAAUAGCUCACUGGUCGAGUCGGCCUGCGCGGAAGAUGUAACGGGGCUAAACCAUGCACCGAAGCUGCGGCAGCGACACUAUGUGUUGUUGGGUAGGGGAGCGUUCUGUAAGCCGUUGAAGGUGUGCUGUGAGGCAUGCUGGAGGUAUCAGAAGUGCGAAUGCUGACAUAAGUAACGAUAAAGCGGGUGAAAAGCCCGCUCGCCGGAAGACCAAGGGUUCCUGUCCAACGUUAAUCGGGGCAGGGUGAGUCGACCCCUAAGGCGAGGCCGAAAGGCGUAGUCGAUGGGAAACAGGUUAAUAUUCCUGUACUUGGUGUUACUGCGAAGGGGGGACGGAGAAGGCUAUGUCAGCCGGGCGACGGUUGUCCCGGUUUAAGCAUGUAGGCGGAGGU
This 1482-nucleotide ribosomal RNA is filed under the name Enterobacter hormaechei. RNAcentral's name for it is "partial 23S ribosomal RNA". It matches the Rfam family "Bacterial large subunit ribosomal RNA", at positions 1 to 1531 of the family's 2925-position model. The record is from RNAcentral. Lineage: Bacteria; Pseudomonadati; Pseudomonadota; Gammaproteobacteria; Enterobacterales; Enterobacteriaceae.